GUCCUUAGUUACCAGCACGUUAUGUGGGCACUCUAAGGAGAACUGCCGGUGACAAACCGGAGGAAGGUGGGGAUGACGUCAAGUCAUCAUGGCCUUACGGCCUGGGCUACACACGUGCUACAAUGGUCGGUACAAAGGGUUGCCAAGCCGCGAGGUGGAGCUAAUCCCAUAAAACCGAUCGUAGUCCGGAUCGCAGUCUGCAACUCGACUGCGUGAAGUCGGAAUCGCUAGUAAUCGUGAAUCAGAAUGUCACGGUGAAUACGUUCCCGGGCCUU
Molecule: ribosomal RNA, 275 nt
Filed under: uncultured Pseudomonas sp.
Lineage: Bacteria; Pseudomonadati; Pseudomonadota; Gammaproteobacteria; Pseudomonadales; Pseudomonadaceae
Description: partial 16S ribosomal RNA
Rfam family: Bacterial small subunit ribosomal RNA
Source: RNAcentral